AGUGAACGCUGGCGGUAGGCCUAACACAUGCCAGUCGAACGGCAGCACAGUAAGAGCUUGCUCUUACGGGUGGCGAGUGGCGGACGGGUGAGGAAUACAUCGGAAUCUACUUUUUCGUGGGGGAUAACGUAGGGAAACUUACGCUAAUACCGCAUACGACCUCCGGGUGAAAGCAGGGGAUCUUCGGACCUUGCGCGAUUGAAUGAGCCGAUGUCGGAUUAGCUAGUUGGCGGGGUAAAGGCCCACCAAGGCGACGAUCCGUAGCUGGUCUGAGAGGAUGGUCAGCCACACUGGAACUGAGACACGGUCCAGACUCCUACGGGAGGCAGCAGUGGGGAAUAUUGGACAAUGGGCGCAAGCCUGAUCCAGCCAUACCGCGUGGGUGAAGAAGGCCUUCGGGUUGUAAAGCCCUUUUGUUGGGAAAGAAAAGCAGCAGGUUAAUACCCCGCUGUUCUGACGGUACCCAAAGAAUAAGCACCGGCUAACUUCGUG
This 492-nucleotide ribosomal RNA is filed under the name uncultured bacterium. RNAcentral describes it as "partial 16S ribosomal RNA". It matches the Rfam family "Bacterial small subunit ribosomal RNA", at positions 29 to 507 of the family's 1533-position model. The record is from RNAcentral.